This 245-nucleotide ribosomal RNA is filed under the name uncultured bacterium. Its description in RNAcentral is "partial 16S ribosomal RNA". It matches the Rfam family "Bacterial small subunit ribosomal RNA", at positions 109 to 354 of the family's 1533-position model. The record is from RNAcentral.
AGUAACGCGUGGAUAACCUGCCUCAUACAGGGGGAUAACAGUUAGAAAUGACUGCUAAUACCGCAUAAGCACACGGGAGCGCAUGCUUCCGGGUGAAAAGCUCCGGCGGUAUGAGAUGGAUCCGCGUCUGAUUAGCUGGUUGGCGGGGUAACGGCCCACCAAGGCGACGAUCAGUAGCCGACCUGAGAGGGUGGCCGGCCACAUUGGGACUGAGACACGGCCCAAACUCCUACGGAAGGCAGCAG